RNAcentral lists this long non-coding RNA (687 nucleotides) under Marmota monax (woodchuck). Lineage: Eukaryota; Metazoa; Chordata; Mammalia; Rodentia; Sciuridae. The record is from RNAcentral.
UUUUUUUUAAAGCUAUUUCUUUUAGCUCUUCAUUAUCUGGGCUUUGCCUGUUCAUUGUAACUCUAGAUGUGACUCUAGAUGAUUUUCCCACCAUGAUCUGAUUCACUGAGUCAGUAAUAGUAAUAUACAAUGUAUUAUUAUCUCACCAAUGAGCUUACCACAGGAUUGCAUUCCUACUUAUUAUACCCCAAACUAGAAGAAGGUGGAUUGAAGGUGGGAGGUCAGAGAAGGUGAGAUGCAGGAAGAGCAAUAGAGGAGUAUGUAAUCCCAUGAACGAAUGAGAAUAAAAGUGUUUUGAGUAAUAUUCAUCAAAUAUUGUCAAAUUCCUUUUAUCUCUGGUGAUCUAACAUCCCCAUUAGCAUUUAUAAGUGAGAGGGUGUUAUAAUGGCAGUGCUUUGGGAUUUCACAGAGGAAAGAGAAUAUAUGAAAUUUUGAUCAUACACAAGAUCCACUGAGGCAAAUGCUAAAAUCGUCUUGUAGAUAAUUAGAUGUAUUUUGAGUCUAUACUUGAUCUUAGGUACUAAAAUGUUUUGCUGUUAUACAAAUUCUUUUGAUCUUUGCAAUUUUUGGAUUGAAUAUAACCAUUUUUAGGCUAUUUCAAGAUAAAAUCAACUAUGAGAUUUAUAACUGCUAAUGAAAUCAUAGGGUACCCAACAAAACAAACUUCUGCAUUGAGGUUUAACUGAU